Molecule: ribosomal RNA, 433 nt
Filed under: uncultured organism
Description: bacterial SSU rRNA
Rfam family: Bacterial small subunit ribosomal RNA
Source: RNAcentral
AGCGAACGCUGGCGGCAGGCCUAACACAUGCAAGUCGAACGGACCCUUCGGGGUUAGUGGCGGACGGGUGAGUAACACGUGGGAACGUGCCUUUAGGUUCGGAAUAGCUCCUGGAAACGGGUGGUAAUGCCGAAUGUGCCCUUCGGGGGAAAGAUUUAUCGCCUUUAGAGCGGCCCGCGUCUGAUUAGCUAGUUGGUAAGGUAAUGGCUUACCAAGGCGACGAUCAGUAGCUGGUCUGAGAGGAUGAUCAGCCACAUUGGGACUGAGACACGGCCCAAACUCCUACGGGAGGCAGCAGUGGGGAAUCUUGCGCAAUGGGCGAAAGCCUGACGCAGCCAUGCCGCGUGAAUGAUGAAGGUCUUAGGAUUGUAAAAUUCUUUCACCGGGGACGAUAAUGACGGUACCCGGAGAAGAAGCCCCGGCUAACUUCGUG